UUCCCAUAGCCACAUUAUUACAUGGAGCAUUUUCAAGAAUGGGCACUGAACACCUCUCUUUAUCUUUUUCAGAAUUCUCUAUUACGAGAAGUUGAAAAUGCAAAAAAACAAUUAGAAGAAAUGCAACAUGAUAAGGAGCAGCUUGUCCUGAAUAUUGAAGCCCUCAGAGCAGAGCUGGACCAGAUGAGACUGAGAGGGCCUUCACUCCACCUUGGCCGCCCCCACUUGGGCAGCGUCCCAGAUUUCAGGCUCCCCAUGGCAGAUGGGCACACGGAUGCCUACAGCACCAGCGCAGUGUUGCGACGCCCCCAGAAAGGCCGACUGGCAGCGCUGCGAGACGAGCCUUCCAAGGCAAGGCUUGAGUGAAGUACAGUACAUCUGCUUGCGUAAAAGUUACCUGCUUGUGUCGUGUUGAAC
This 417-nucleotide long non-coding RNA is filed under the name Cavia porcellus (domestic guinea pig). Its description in RNAcentral is "lncRNA (ENSCPOG00000035824.1)". Lineage: Eukaryota; Metazoa; Chordata; Mammalia; Rodentia; Caviidae. The record is from RNAcentral.